CUGAUCCUCUCAUUUCUGGCAUUUGUGCUUGGAAACAGACAAGACAGCUUGCUAGCAGAGGAGCUCAAGUUGGAAAACAAAGAUGAUGGAAAUGCUUAAAGCAAGUGCAGGUAGUAUGACCCAGACUAACUCCUACUAAGCCAAUCCUCACUAGAAUGAGCACAAAACAAAUGAAUAACAGCUUUUGUACAUCAACAUUAAAAUGGGAAGAAG
Molecule: non-coding RNA, 213 nt
Organism: Zonotrichia albicollis (white-throated sparrow)
Lineage: Eukaryota; Metazoa; Chordata; Aves; Passeriformes; Passerellidae
Source: RefSeq, a predicted model, not a curated record